AAUAAAUGAGUGUAUCAACAACAACAAAGGGCAUGGAGUUCAGGAAUGUAUUCUUCAUAAUGAUUAGUCAAUCAUACGUGAGAAUGACAGGCUAGUAAAGAAAUAGUACAACACAACAAUAGAAACAAUGGGAAUCUAAAGAAAGAUGCCAUUCAAAUAAAUAAGUAUGGACUAAUCCUGCUGCAACAACCAAUCCCUGCACUCAAAUGCAACCAGAUGAGUUGACACCAGAUGCUUGCUACAGAAAUUAUGUCACAACUUUCUUGUUUGGUUCUUAAAAUUGCAUGCUAGUAUGCUACAAUUGAACAUAGUUUCAAUUUAGAUAGCAAGAAAAUAUUGAUGGAUGCAUUAGAAUUUUACCCAUCCAAUCUUAAAUUGAAAUCCAGAUAACUGUAAAAGAAAGGACAGGAAAACAAAAAUAUAGUCUGUAUCCUAACAAUGAGCUGUAGAGACAAACUCCAUAAUUCUAGAUAAUAUCAUGCAAAU
RNAcentral lists this unclassified non-coding RNA (486 nucleotides) under Hevea brasiliensis (rubber tree). The record is from RNAcentral. Lineage: Eukaryota; Viridiplantae; Streptophyta; Magnoliopsida; Malpighiales; Euphorbiaceae.